GCCAGGAGUGGUGGCUCACUCCUGUAAUCCAAGCACUUUGGGAGGCCGAGUUGGGUGGAUCACCUGAGGUCAGGAGUUCGAGACCAGCCUGGCCAACAUGGUGAAACCCCAUCUCUA
Molecule: non-coding RNA, 117 nt
Filed under: Gorilla gorilla gorilla (western lowland gorilla)
Lineage: Eukaryota; Metazoa; Chordata; Mammalia; Primates; Hominidae
Source: Rfam by way of RNAcentral